GUGGGGAAUAUUGGGCAAUGGGCGAAAGCCUGACCCAGCAACGCCGCGUGAAGGAAGAAGGUCUUCGGAUCGUAAACUUCUAUCCUUGGUGAAGAUAAUGACGGUAGCCGAGAAGGAAGCCCCGGCUAACUACGUGCCAGCAGCCGCGGUAAUACGUAGGGGGCAAGCGUUGUCCGGAAUGAUUGGGCGUAAAGGGCGCGUAGGCGGCCCGGUAAGUCUGAAGUGAAAGUCCUGCUUUUAAGGUGGGAAUUGCUUUGGAUACUGUCGGGCUUGAGUGCAGGAGAGGUAAGCGGAAUUCCCGGUGUAGCGGUGAAAUGCGUAGAGAUCGGGAGGAACACCAGUGGCGAAGGCGGCUUACUGGACUGUAACUGACGCUGAGGCGCGAAAGUGUGGGGAGCAAACAGGAUUAGAAACCCCAGUAGUCC
Molecule: ribosomal RNA, 425 nt
Filed under: uncultured bacterium
Lineage: Bacteria
Description: partial 16S ribosomal RNA
Rfam family: Bacterial small subunit ribosomal RNA
Source: RNAcentral